UUGUACUUGUAGCCGCUUUGUUUUUAAUUACUGUCUUGUCAGAUAUUCGGAUUUAUUUCAUUAUCUACUGUCUAGUUAUUUUUACAUUAUUUCUUAUGUUCUUCUCAGUAGGGCCUCAACCUUCCUCGUCACUACUCCAUCGAGGUUAGGCUUGGCACUUACUGAGUACCGCUGUGGUGUACUCAUGCUACUCUUCUGCACACUAUUGUUGUGCAGAUCUAGGUACCCUUGAUCAGGCGCGCUAUUAGGGAUUUGGAGUUGCUUUGGAGGCUUGAGGUAUGCUUCUGCCGCGUCUGCAGAGCCGACGAGCCUUCCUCUAUUCUACAUGUAGAUUAUAGUUUUCUGCCGCAUUCUCAUUUGAUUUAGAUACUUCGGGAUGUUAGAGCACUGUAGUAUGUUCACCCUUAGCCUGUGUUGCCCGUGGGUUUCCGGGUCUUGGAGGUUAUUAUGUUAUAUUGAGUUGACAUGUAUGUGUCAGGCAGCACUUUAUACAUUAUCUUACGUCAUUUAUGUUUUGAAUUAUUGCUUCCGGAAAGACUGUCGAAUUUCCGCAAUGUGUCAGGCUUACCUAGUCGCAAAGACUGGGUGCCGUCAUGAAAGGUUCACGAUUGGUGAACUAGGGUAGUGACACACUUGUUCUCAACAUAAAAAGAAUUUGUAACGUUUUUUAGUAUUGCAGUCCACUUAUUACAAAACCAAAUAGAAAUACACAUACAUCAGUGACUUAAGUGCUUAGCUACAUGAAUCAGGAAAAAAAACUCAAUUAAAAUACAUGUUUCAAUUCUUUAUAUAUUCAUUCUUCAUAGUUUUAGCUCACAAUUAUCAAAGUCAAGUUGUGUACCUGGAAAUUAAUUUACAAUGGAAGAAGCAGAAAGAUCAGCAACGGCAGUAACAAAUGUAAAAGCAAAUCGACAGUUACCAAGAACAAAUAGAGACAAAUUCAAGGGUAAACCACAGUCCAAAUGCCCAAGAAGAAGGCACCAGGAAUAAACAGAGCCAGAUUCGUGGCUAAACCACAGUCCAAAUGCCCAGGAAGAAGGAAACUUAACCAAAACACUGAAUCUACUCAGAAUUAGACUAUGCAUUCAUAGAACACCUUUUACCAAUCAAAUAAUACCCAGCGACACUCGAACAAAUCACCAAAUACCUUCAAAUGCACUAAAACCAAAGUACAGAACAGAAACUGAUAGAUUUGAACUGUUUCUGAUCUUAAAAUCAUAAUAACAGUAAUUGUUCAAUGGAAUAAUAACCUCUCUCAAAAUAUGUUCAAAAACUAAUAGCCUAAAUAACUCUAAAACUCUCAAAAAUUGAUCUCUCAAACUCUAAAUAUGAUGUCUGCCUCUAAACUCUCUCUUUAGGUUUCAAAACUCUAUGUAAAACUAUCAAUAUUUUUUUCCAAUAUUUUCAAGCUCUAUCAAAUUAUCUCUCCCACUCUAAAAUCUCUCAAAAUGCUCCUUUCAAACUGCCACUAAAACUUAUUGCAAUCUCUGAAGCUCUCUUCCCGUGUCUUUCUGUAUCUCUCUAUAUUUAUAUCCAACCCUUAAACCCUUUCCAGCCUCUUCUUUUUUUUUUCUUACAAUUGUACCUCUAGACCUUUUAUUAUUAUCCCCAUAUUUUUUUUUUACUUUUCAGCUUGCAUAUCUUUACUAUGUGUACCCCUUUAACCUUUCAUUAUUAACCUAUAUUUUUUCUGAUUUCUAAUUUAGUAAAAGCACUAGGCCAAACCAACAAUCCCCUUCUUCUUUUGUUAAUUCAAAACGUUAUUUUUACUGGCAACUUCAAUCCUUAAUUAAACCCCAACUACUCACAUUAUCUCCUAUGAGGACUAUUCACAUGUUAAGGCUUCAAAAUAGAUCAGCAGAUUCAAAAGAGAUGCAAAGAUUUUGAUAAUUGAAAAUAAACUAAUCUUGAGUCAAACAUACAAACAUAUAUAAAAUCAUGUAAACCAACAUUCAAACAGAAAUUGCUAACAACUUAUCGUGUUUAACUAAGCAAUGGCUUAAACGAUUAAAACUUAAAGUAAAUUGACAUAAAAUGUUCACAUCUGUUGUUCUCAGCAAAUUGAAACACAAACAGACCAAAACUUCAUAUAAUAAAAGGACCAUCAGAUGAUAAGAAUCGUGUAUUUGAACCCAUGGGAAAGGGAACACAGAAACACUUACCAGAAUCGAACCCUUUAUUCUGUUCCAAAGACCUUCCUACUCUAUUGGUUGACACGGACUCCAAUCGUAUGUUUUUGUUUAAUCGAAAACACACACUUAUAGCUAGGUUUUGGGGAAUUUGGUCUCUGACAGGCAUAGACGAAGGAAGGGGAGGGGUUCUAAGGGGGGUGGGGUAUGUUUGGGAACUUAUAUACCUAUGGCGGAAUUGAAUCACGAUCGUCAGAUCAACUGAGAUCAACGGCCUGGAUCAAUUGGUUUAUGGGAAACGAGGUCGUUUGAUCUCAUUGGAGGACUGGGUCGAUAUGGCGAAAUUGGGUGGGGUUAUGUGGGAAAGCUUUGAGUCGUUAGAUGAGUGAGAUUCAAUGGCU
RNAcentral lists this long non-coding RNA (2530 nucleotides) under Nicotiana benthamiana. Its description in RNAcentral is "long non-coding RNA (NBEN_LNC031809)". The record is from RNAcentral. Lineage: Eukaryota; Viridiplantae; Streptophyta; Magnoliopsida; Solanales; Solanaceae.